Acanthosepion pharaonis is the source of this 113-nucleotide non-coding RNA. The record is from the annotation of a GenBank genome assembly. Lineage: Eukaryota; Metazoa; Mollusca; Cephalopoda; Sepiida; Sepiidae.
ACAACCAUAUCACGUUGAAACACUGGUUCUCGUAUGAUCACCGAAGUUAAGCCACAUCGAUCCUGGUGUUAGUACCUAGAUGGGUGACCAUUUGGAAAUACUAGGUGAUGUAA